GAUGAAGAACGCAGUGAAAUGCGAUAAGUAAUGUGAAUUGCAGAAUUCCGUGAAUCAUCGAAUUUUUGAACGCACAUUGCGCCCCCUGGUAUUCCGGGGGGCAUGCCUGUCCGAGCGUCAUUGCUGCCCUCAAGCACGGCUUGUGUGUUGGGCCUCCGUCCUCCUCCCGGGGGACGGGCCCGAAAGGCAGCGGCGGCACCGCGUCCGGUCCUCGAGCGUAUGGGGCUUCGUCACCCGCUCUUGUAGGCCCGGCCGGCGCUUGCCGACACAUCAAUCUUUUUUCCAGGUUGACCUCGGAUCAGGUAGGGAUACCCGCUGAACUUAAGCAUAUCAAUAAGCGGAGGA
Molecule: unclassified non-coding RNA, 345 nt
Filed under: soil metagenome
Description: partial contains 5.8S ribosomal RNA, internal transcribed spacer 2, and large subunit ribosomal RNA
Rfam family: 5.8S ribosomal RNA (bases 1-120)
Source: RNAcentral